RNAcentral lists this ribosomal RNA (253 nucleotides) under uncultured bacterium. RNAcentral describes it as "partial 16S ribosomal RNA". It matches the Rfam family "Bacterial small subunit ribosomal RNA", at positions 524 to 776 of the family's 1533-position model. The record is from RNAcentral.
UACGGAGGAUCCAAGCGUUAUCCGGAUUUAUUGGGUUUAAAGGGUGCGUAGGUGGCCUGUUAAGUCAGGGGUGAAAGACGGUAGCUUAACUAUCGCAGUGCCCUUGAUACUGAUGGGCUUGAAUAAACUGGAGGUAGGCGGAAUGUGACAAGUAGCGGUGAAAUGCAUAGAUAUGUCACAGAACACCAAUUGCGAAGGCAGCUUACUAUGGUUUUAUUGACACUGAGGCACGAAAGCGUGGGGAUCAAACAGG